RNAcentral lists this ribosomal RNA (696 nucleotides) under uncultured bacterium. Its description in RNAcentral is "bacterial SSU rRNA". It matches the Rfam family "Bacterial small subunit ribosomal RNA", at positions 156 to 866 of the family's 1533-position model. The record is from RNAcentral.
ACGGUGAUUAAUACCUUAUAAGUCGGUAGUCUCGCAUGAGAUAGCCGACAAAGAUUUAUCGGUAUGGGAUGGGCCCGCGUUUGAUUAGCUAGUUGGUGAGGUAACGGCUCACCAAGGCGACGAUCAGUAGCCGACCUGAGAGGGUGAUCGGCCACACUGGAACUGAGAAACGGUCCAGACUCCUACGGGAGGCAGCAGUGGGGAAUAUUGGGCAAUGGGCGAAAGCCUGACCCAGCAACGCCGCGUGAAGGAAGAAGGUUUUCGGAUUGUAAACUUCUGUCCUCAGGGAAGAAGAAAGUGACGGUACCUGAGGAGGAAGCCCCGGCUAACUACGUGCCAGCAGCCGCGGUAAUACGUAGGGGGCGAGCGUUGUCCGGAAUGACUGGGCGUAAAGGGCGCGUAGACGGCUGUCUAAGUCUGGAGUGAAAGUCCUGCUUUCAAGGUGGGAAUUGCUUUGGAGACUGGAUGGCUUGAGUGCGGAAGAGGUAAGUGGAAUUCCCAGUGUAGCGGUGAAAUGCGUAGAGAUUGGGAGGAACACCAGUGGCGAAGGCGACUUACUGGGCCGUAACUGACGUUGAUGCGCGAAAGCGUGGGGAGCGAACAGGAUUAGAUACCCUGGUAGUCCACGCGGUAAACGAUGAGUGCUAGGUGUAGCGGGUAUCGACCCCUGCUGUGCCGGAGUUAACACAAUAAGCA